Molecule: non-coding RNA, 88 nt
Filed under: unclassified sequences
Source: RNAcentral
UAAACUUCGCCACCGGGUGAAGUGUAUAAGGUAUUCUGCAGCAUUCCAUUAGGUCUUUGGAGGAAUGUUAUCAGAAUACCUUUUUAUU